RNAcentral lists this ribosomal RNA (254 nucleotides) under uncultured bacterium. Its description in RNAcentral is "partial 16S ribosomal RNA". It matches the Rfam family "Bacterial small subunit ribosomal RNA", at positions 524 to 776 of the family's 1533-position model. The record is from RNAcentral.
UACGUAGGGUGCGAGCGUUAAUCGGAAUUACUGGGCGUAAAGCGUGCGCAGGCGGUCUGUUAAGACCGAUGUGAAAUCCCCGGGCUUAACCUGGGAACUGCAUUGGUGACUGGUAGGCUUUGAGUGUGGCAGAGGGAGGUAGAAUUCCACGUGUAGCAGUGAAAUGCGUAGAGAUGUGGAGGAAUACCGAUGGCGAAGGCAGCCUCCUGGGCCAACACUGACGCUCAUACACGAAAGCGUGGGGAGCAAACAGG